CAUUGUUACGAAGAGCACCUUUCAAAAGUGCCUCUCCGCUGUUCGUCAAACACACUCGCACAAACUCAGGCAAACAUCACUAAGCGGAAAACAAAUUAAACAACUCCCAUGUGGAAGGGGAACUUCGGCGGUGGGAGGUUGGGUGUUUGGGUUUUGAGGAGUACUUAUUCGUAAGCUGCCUUUUGUUCGUCACGUUGGCGUCGCGAAAGUGCCAAAGUUUUUCAUUGUAAUAAAUAUUUUAAUUUUGAACUUGAGCAAUUAACCCGGCAACGCAUGUGGAAAGGAAUGGAAUGGAAAGUUGAGGAAAGGAAAGGCCACCACCGUUUGCUCCAUUGUCCUGGCAAUUGUGAUAGGGAUACCCACCCACUUGAGCCCUUUUUUUCAUACCCCUCCCAAAGGAGGGAGCGUAACGCUCUCUGUGAACAUUAUGAACUUAAGCCCCCGGCAAACAACAAUAACAAUAAGAGUCUGAGACACAUGCCAAAGUGGUUAAGUCGGCGGAGAAAUGUUGGCGAAACUUUUCGGGGCACGACGCAUUUAAAUGAUUUUGCAUAAUUCAAAUGGUGGCAAACUUUUCGUAUCCGACAAGGACACAAAAACCCUAGAAACAACAACAACAAAAUAAAAUGCGUUACGAAACUUGGCCCCGAACUU
Molecule: non-coding RNA, 654 nt
Organism: Drosophila melanogaster (fruit fly)
Lineage: Eukaryota; Metazoa; Arthropoda; Insecta; Diptera; Drosophilidae
Source: Ensembl